Molecule: ribosomal RNA, 197 nt
Filed under: uncultured bacterium
Lineage: Bacteria
Description: partial 16S ribosomal RNA
Rfam family: Bacterial small subunit ribosomal RNA
Source: RNAcentral
ACUCCUACGGAAGGCAGCAGUGGGGAAUAUUGGACAAUGGGCGAAAGCCUGAUCCAGCCAUGCCGCGUGUGUGAAGAAGGCCUUCGGGUUGUAAAGCACUUUAAGUGGGGAGGAAAAGCGCUGCGUGAAUAUCGUAGUGCCGUGACGUUACCCACAGAAUAAGCACCGGCAAACUCCGUGCCAGCAGCCGCGGUAAU